GCGGCUGUAGCUCAGUGGUAGAGCGCAACCUUGCCAAGGUUGAUGUCGACGGUUCAAAUCCGUUCAGCCGCUCCA
Molecule: transfer RNA, 75 nt
Filed under: bacterium
Lineage: Bacteria
Also listed under: 6 other names
Description: tRNA-Gly
Rfam family: tRNA
About the family: Transfer RNA (tRNA) molecules are approximately 80 nucleotides in length.
Source: RNAcentral